UAUUUCCUGGGAUGCUCGAUACCCUGAUAUUUUGAACCUACAUUUGUAAUAAGGGACUCCUAAAUCGUGCUUAGGAUGCCAGGCCUCGUCAAGCUGGAGGAAGGCAGAAUAGGCAUUGCGGACACCCACCUAGCUAGCGCUAGGGAUCAAAAUUCAGGAACCGGCAUUUCGGGUACGAU
RNAcentral lists this non-coding RNA (179 nucleotides) under Anaerotalea alkaliphila. RNAcentral describes it as "6S / SsrS RNA". It matches the Rfam family "6S / SsrS RNA". From Rfam's summary of the family: E. coli 6S RNA was the first non coding RNA to be sequenced, but its function was unknown until recently. It consists of 184 nucleotides that fold into an extended hairpin structure with a large single-stranded internal bulge. The 6S RNA specifically associates with RNA polymerase holoenzyme containing the sigma70 specificity factor. The record is from Rfam by way of RNAcentral. Lineage: Bacteria; Bacillati; Bacillota; Clostridia; Eubacteriales.